UGGGGAAUAUUGCACAAUGGGCGCAAGCCUGAUGCAGCCAUGCCGCGUGUGUGAAGAAGGCCUUCGGGUUGUAAAGCACUUUCAGCGGGGAGGAAGGCGUUAAGGUUAAUAACCUUGGCGAUUGACGUUACCCGCAGAAGAAGCACCGGCUAACUCCGUGCCAGCAGCUGCGGUAAUACGGAGGGUGCAAGCGUUAAUCGGAAUUACUGGGCGUAAAGCGCACGCAGGCGGUCUGUCAAGUCGGAUGUGAAAUCCCCGGGCUCAACCUGGGAACUGCAUUCGAAACUGGCAGGCUAGAGUCUUGUAGAGGGGGGUAGAAUUCCAGGUGUAGCGGUGAAAUGCGUAGAGAUCUGGAGGAAUACCGGUGGCGAAGGCGGCCCCCUGGACAAAGACUGACGCUCAGGUGCGAAAGCGUGGGGAGCAAACAGG
Molecule: ribosomal RNA, 429 nt
Filed under: Chloroflexota bacterium
Lineage: Bacteria; Bacillati; Chloroflexota
Description: Chloroflexi bacterium partial 16S ribosomal RNA
Rfam family: Bacterial small subunit ribosomal RNA
Source: RNAcentral